CCGUAGCUACUGCGGAGACAUUACCGAGUUCUCGGGCUUCGGCUCGAAUCUCCCACCCUUUGUGAACAUACCUCUGUUGCUUUGGCGGCUCUUUGCCGCGAGGAGGCCCUCGCGGGCCCCCCCGCGCGCUUUCCGCCAGAGGACCUUCAAACUCCAGUCAGUAAACGUCGACGUCUGAUAAACAAGUUAAUAAACUAAAACUUUCAACAACGGAUCUCUUGGUUCUGGCAUCGAUGAAGAACGCAGCGAAAUGCGAUAAGUAAUGUGAAUUGCAGAAUUCAGUGAAUCAUCGAAUCUUUGAACGCACAUUGCGCCCCUUGGCAUUCCGAGGGGCAUGCCUGUUCGAGCGUCAUUACAACCCUCAAGCUCUGCUUGGUAUUGGGCGCCGUCCUCUCUGCGGACGCGCCUUAAAGACCUCGGCGGUGGCUGUUCAGCCCUCAAGCGUAGUAGAAUACACCUCGCUUUGGAGCGGUUGGCGUCGCCCGCCGGACGAACCUUCUGAACUUUUCUCAAGGUUGACCUCGGAUCAGGUAGGGAUACCCGCUGAACUUAAGCAUAUCAU
Molecule: ribosomal RNA, 562 nt
Filed under: Diplodia seriata
Lineage: Eukaryota; Fungi; Ascomycota; Dothideomycetes; Botryosphaeriales; Botryosphaeriaceae
Description: eukaryotic LSU rRNA
Rfam family: 5.8S ribosomal RNA (bases 199-352)
Source: RNAcentral